GAGCGUAUAGCUCAGUUGGUAGAGUGCGUGCUUAGCAUGCACGAGGUCCUGAGUUCAAUUCCCAGUACCUCCA
This 73-nucleotide transfer RNA is filed under the name Camelus bactrianus (Bactrian camel). It matches the Rfam family "tRNA". Rfam says of the family: Transfer RNA (tRNA) molecules are approximately 80 nucleotides in length. Their secondary structure includes four short double-helical elements and three loops (D, anti-codon, and T loops). Lineage: Eukaryota; Metazoa; Chordata; Mammalia; Artiodactyla; Camelidae. RNAcentral also lists the same sequence under 1 other name. The record is from Rfam by way of RNAcentral.